This 1084-nucleotide long non-coding RNA is filed under the name Homo sapiens (human). Its description in RNAcentral is "non-protein coding lnc-NPSR1-4:2". Lineage: Eukaryota; Metazoa; Chordata; Mammalia; Primates; Hominidae. The record is from RNAcentral.
AUAAGUUUAAGCAACUCUCUACGACAUGGAACGUGCGUUUGCUUUGAGCUCCACGGAAUCGUUUCCAAGCCAAAGCAAACCAUCCUGGCGGUCAGAGGCCGAGAUAACGGGAAGGCGGCCAGUCGUACCAAUCAGCAGCGCUCAAGUCUCGUUAGCGCAGACCUGCUGCCCGCGGCCAGGCCGGGCAGCUGUUGAUCCCCGGGCCAUUCUUUUAAAGCCCAGGCAGAGCGCGGGUGGGAAGCGUGCGAGGAGAGCUGAGCCAGGGAGUUGCGGGGAGGAGAAGUCUCUCUCUCUCUCUCUGUUGCCUGCCGCAGGUAAGAUGUGCCUUGCUUCCCCUUCACCUUCUACCAUGAUUGUAAGUUUCCUGAGGCCUCCCCAGCCAUGCAGAACUAUGAGUCAAUUAAACCUCCUUUCUUUAUAAAUACUCAGUCUCUGGUGGUAUUCUUCAUAGCAGUGUGAAAACGGACUAAAACAGAGAAUUGGUACCAAGGUAGUGUGGUACUGCUAUAAAGAUAACUUGAGAACGUGGAAGCAACUUUGGAACUGGAUAACAGGCAGAAGUUGGAACAGUUUGGAAGGCUCAGAUGAAGACAAGAGGAUGAAUGAAAGUUUGGAACUUCCUACAGACUUGUUGAAUUGUUUUGACCAAAAUGCUAAUAGUGAUAUAUGAUAUAGACAAUGAAGUCCGGGCUGAGAUGGUCUCAGAUGGAAAUGAGGAACCUAUUGGGAGCUGGAGUAAAGGUCACUCUUACUAUGCUUUAGCAAAGAGCCUGGCAGCAUUUUGCACCUGCUCCGGAGAUCUAUGGAACUUUGAACUUAAGAGAGAUGAUUUAGGGUGUCUGGCAGAAGAAAUUUCUAAGCAGCAAAGCAUUCAAGAGGUAAUCUGGUUGAUUCUGAAAGCGUUCAGUUACAUGCGCUCACAAAGAGAUGGUUUGAAAUUGGAACUUACAUUUAAAAGGGAAGCAGAGCAUAAAGAUUUGGAAAAUGUACAGCCUGACUAUGUGGUAGAAAUUUUUCUGGGAAGAAAUUCAAGCCAGCUGCAGAAAUUUGCAUAAGUAACAAGGAGCCAAAUGUUAAUCACCAA